RNAcentral lists this transfer RNA (77 nucleotides) under Pseudomonas phage YS35. Its description in RNAcentral is "tRNA-Thr". Lineage: Duplodnaviria; Heunggongvirae; Uroviricota; Caudoviricetes; Vandenendeviridae. The record is from RNAcentral.
UUGGUGCCCCAUUCCUGACUUGAACAGAAUUCGCCGGGUUACAAAGCCGGUGCAUCACCAUAAAUGCUUAAAGGGCA